Molecule: ribosomal RNA, 598 nt
Filed under: uncultured bacterium
Lineage: Bacteria
Description: bacterial SSU rRNA
Rfam family: Bacterial small subunit ribosomal RNA
Source: RNAcentral
ACUCAAAUGAAUUGACGGGAGCCUGCACAAGCGGUGGAGCAUGUGGUUUGAUUCGAAGCAACGCGCAGAACCUUACCAGCGUUUGACAUGUCCGGACGAUUUCCAGAGAUGGAUCUCUUUCCUUCGGGAACUGGAACACAGGUGCUGCAUGGCUGUCGUCAGCUCGUGUCGUGAGAUGUUGGGUUAAGUCCCGCAACGAGCGCAACCCUCGCCUUUAGUUACCAUCAUUUAGUUGGGGACUCUAAAGGAACCGCCGGUGAUAAGCCGGAGGAAGGUGGGGAUGACGUCAAGUCCUCAUGGCCCUUACGCGCUGGGCUACACACGUGCUACAAUGGCGGUGACAGUGGGCAGCAAUCCUGCAAGGGUGAGCUAAUCUCCAAAAGCCGUCUCAGUUCGGAUUGCACUCUGCAACUCGAGUGCAUGAAGGCGGAAUCGCUAGUAAUCGCGGAUCAGCAUGCCGCGGUGAAUACGUUCCCAGGCCUUGUACACACCGCCCGUCACACCAUGGGAGUUGGGUUCACCCGAAGGCGUUGCGCUAACUCAGCAAUGAGAGGCAGGCGACCACGGUGGGCUUAGCGACUGGGGUGAAGUCGUAACA